CAGUUGGCGGCCUCGGGCUUCAAACCUGGGAAGCGG
This 36-nucleotide transfer RNA is filed under the name Dinophysis acuminata. Its description in RNAcentral is "partial Selenocysteine transfer RNA". Lineage: Eukaryota; Dinophyceae; Dinophysales; Dinophysaceae. The record is from RNAcentral.